Molecule: long non-coding RNA, 1031 nt
Organism: Quercus robur (English oak)
Lineage: Eukaryota; Viridiplantae; Streptophyta; Magnoliopsida; Fagales; Fagaceae
Exons: 3
Source: RefSeq, a predicted model, not a curated record
CCCUCAAUUGUAAUAGUUUUAAUCCUGACCGUAUAUAUAAUUUUAGUGAAUACCAAUUACCGGUAGAGCAAGUUUCCAUAUAAAAGCAAAAGCAAAACCUAAAAAAACCAAAACAGAUCUGUUUCUCUCUUGCGUUCACUCAAUUCUGUGGGCGAACCAAGCUUUGUGUCCAUCGAUCUCCUUCCCGCGUUCCUUGGAUUUGCUAACUGGUAAAGGCAAGGAUCAAAACUAAACGCUAAUUUCCAAAUGAUCAGUUUGGCUACAUAUCACUCCUCUCUCUAUUUGAUUUUGAGAUCGUCGAAUAUGGGUAUUGGGUUGAGCUUUGCGAUGAUGAUGAGUUUCUUGUUCUAGCCACUUGUGAUGGGAUUUGGGAGAUGUAGAUAGUGCACUGGAGCAGAAGUCCGACAAUAAUAGAUUAAAGGGAAGAGAGAAUCAAGUUAUCUCUGUGUUUAAGGAAUUCUGUUAAGAGAAAAGAGAGUGUCGUCUAAGGUUGUUGAGUACUGCCAAUCAGUUAUUCAAAACAUUGAUAGCUUUAGCUCUUUCAUGUCUUGUUAUUUAAUUUUGGUUGUUCAACAAUUGUUAGUAUCAAGUUAUGAUAUUUUGCACUCAAUGUUGAACUCAGAUAUUUAAAAUAUUAGCAAAAAUUGAGGUAAAUACCAAGUCUUGAAUUUUAUUUCCUUACUGUUGUUAAACGAUAGAACUCAUUAAAAAUUUAAAUUAAAUUUAAAAUUUGCUUGAAAUAAAAAUCUAAUGUAUGUCAAUUAGAUGGUAACUUAGAACAUUGAUCUUCUAUGGAUUUCCUUGGUUGAUGAGAAUUCCAAGGUUCCUUUGGCUUUCCUCAGUGAGGUAAUAGCUUCAAAAACUUGUAGUGAACCUAUAAUGAACACAUUACAGCCUAUGCUGACAUAUAUCUUUAUUGGUGUUUCAAGGGAUGAAAUGUUGCUAAGGGAAUUUCAGUUUUUUUUUUUUUUUUUUUUUUUUUUUUUUUUUUUUUUUUUUUUUUUUUUUUUUUUUUUUUUUUUUUUUUUCAU